Molecule: ribosomal RNA, 253 nt
Filed under: uncultured bacterium
Lineage: Bacteria
Description: partial 16S ribosomal RNA
Rfam family: Bacterial small subunit ribosomal RNA
Source: RNAcentral
UACGUAGGGUGCAAGCGUUGUCCGGAUUUAUUGGGUUUAAAGGGUGCGUAGGCGGUUUUAUAAGUCAGUGGUGAAAGACAACAGCUCAACUGUUGAGGUGCCAAUGAUACUGUAGGACUUGAGUACAGGAGAGGUAUGAGGAAUUGACAGUGUAGCGGUGAAAUGCAUAGAUAUUGUCAAGAACACCGAUAGCGAAGGCAGCAUGCUAGCCCGAAACUGACGCUGAGGCACGAAAGUGUGGGGAUCAAACAGG